CGUAGCUGAAACUUGUACGGCUCUCUUGGAGAUCACCCAAGUAGCAUAGGGCCCGAGAAAUCCUGUGUGAAUCUGGCGGGACCACCCGUUAAGCCUAAAUAUUCCCUGGUGACCGAUAGCGGAUAGUACCGUGAGGGAAUGGUGAAAAGUACCGCGGGAGCGGAGUGAAAUAGUACCUGAAACCGUGUGCCUACAAGCCGUGGGAGCGUCGCAUCAAGUGCUUGCGCUUGGUGUCGUGACUGCGUGCCUUUUGAAGAAUGAGCCUGCGAGUUUGCGGUGUGUUGCGAGGUUAACCCGUGUGGGGGAGCCGUAGCGAAAGCGAGUCCGAAGAGGGCGUUUUUAGUAGCACGCUCAAGACCCGAAGCGGAGUGAUCUAGCCAUGGGCAGGUUGAAGCGCGGGUAAGACCGUGUGGAGGACCGAACCCACCAGGGUUGAAAACCUGGGGGAUGACCUGUGGUUAGGGGUGAAAGGCCAAUCAAACUCCGUGAUAGCUGGUUCUCCCCGAAAUGCAUUUAGGUGCAGCGUCGUGUGUUUCUUGCCGGAGGUAGAGCACUGGAUAGGCGAUGGGCCCUACCGGGUUACUGACCUUAGCCAAACUCCGAAUGCCGGUAAGUGAGAGCGCGGCAGUGAGACUGUGGGGGAUAAGCUCCAUGGUCGAGAGGGAAACAGCCCAGAGCAUCGACUAAGGCCCCUAAGCGUACGCUAAGUGGGAAAGGAUGUGGAGUCGCAGAGACAACCAGGAGGUUGGCUUAGAAGCAGCCAUCCUUGAAAGAGUGCGUAAUAGCUCACUGGUCA
This 796-nucleotide ribosomal RNA is filed under the name marine sediment metagenome. RNAcentral describes it as "LSU rRNA". It matches the Rfam family "Bacterial large subunit ribosomal RNA", at positions 374 to 1151 of the family's 2925-position model. The record is from RNAcentral.